AGAGUUUGAUCCUGGCUCAGAACGAACGCUGGCGGCGUGGAUAAGACAUGCAAGUCGAGCGCUGAUUAAAGGGUAGCAAUAUUCUUUAGUCGGAGCGGCGCAAGGGUGCGUAACACGUGGGUAAUCUGCCAUGAAGUCUGGGAUAACUUGCUGAAAGGCGAGCUAAUACCGGAUGUGAAAAUUAAUCGGCAUCGAAAGAUUUUCAAAGCUGGGGACCGUAAGGCCUGGCGCUUCAUGAUGAGCCCGCGGCCUAUCAGCUAGUUGGUAAGGUAACGGCUUACCAAGGCUAAGACGGGUAGCUGGUCUGAGAGGACGACCAGCCACACUGGAACUGAGACACGGUCCAGACACCUACGGGUGGCAGCAGUCGAGAAUUUUUCACAAUGGGCGCAAGCCUGAUGGAGCGACGCCGCGUGGGGGAUGAAUGGCUUCGGCCCGUAAACCCCUGUCAUUUGCGAUCAAACCUCGUUAUUUAAAAGAUGACGAGCUGAUAGUAGCGAAAGAGGAAGGGACGGCUAACUCUGUGCCAGCAGCCGCGGUAAUACAGAGGUCCCAAGCGUUGUUCGGAUUCACUGGGCGUAAAGGGUGCGUAGGUGGCGGGGUAAGUCGGAUGUGAAAUCUCGAAGCUCAACUUCGAAACUGCAUUGGAAACUACCUUGCUUGAGGGUUGGAGGGGGGACUGGAAUACUUGGUGUAGCAGUGAAAUGCGUAGAUAUCAAGUGGAACACCAGUGGCGAAGGCGAGUCCCUGGACAACUCCUGACACUGAGGCACGAAAGCUAGGGGAGCAAACAGGAUUAGAUACCCUAGUAGUCC
This 815-nucleotide ribosomal RNA is filed under the name uncultured bacterium. Its description in RNAcentral is "bacterial SSU rRNA". It matches the Rfam family "Bacterial small subunit ribosomal RNA", at positions 8 to 796 of the family's 1533-position model. The record is from RNAcentral.